Molecule: non-coding RNA, 1261 nt
Organism: Macaca mulatta (Rhesus monkey)
Lineage: Eukaryota; Metazoa; Chordata; Mammalia; Primates; Cercopithecidae
Source: RefSeq, a predicted model, not a curated record
AAAAAAGACAAAAAAAAAGAUAAACUUGGAAAGACAAUUCCUCUACAUCUGUUGAUUAUAUAUAUGCAUAUAUAUAGAUAUAUAUACACACACAUAUAUAUAAACUCAGAUAACAGACUUGGGAUAAACACAUAAUUUUCUGCAAACUCUGCUAUGGUCACUUUAACAUGGCACUGUGUCAAUCCAGCAUUCACCCAAACAUUGAAAGGAGAUGUUAGUGUCCUACAGAAUCAUCUUCAAAUUCCCCACUAGGCUCAUGAAUUAUAAGGUAGUGGUUUUAUACACCACACCCUGCAGUACAGAGUUUGGCUUGGCUCUUCUCCGGAUUUCAGCUUCCCCAAAUGCAAACUAGCAAGUGGAGCCAUCCUAUGCCCCCUGAGAAUGGCAGAACCCUAAAGUUGGCAGCCUCUUCAGUUUGCAGGAGAGGAUGUGAGAACAGAGAAAACAAUGGCUUGCCCAAGGCCAAGUGGCCAUUGAGGGACAAAUCCAAGCCUGGUGCCUAUACUGCUCAACUAAGGCCUUAAAAAACAUGCAAACCAGAACUUACUUCUAUUUUCUAUCACCGUGGCACAUCAGGAAUUUAUGCUGACAAAUAUGACUCACAGCAUCCUCCUCCUCCUAAAGCUCGUAAAAUGCCCCAGUGAGGCCUUCUGUGUUUGCAAAUGUUUUUUGGUGUGGAGAGAUGUGUGGCUGUAACUGAGUAAGGUAUGGGCAGGCUGUGGUACUUUGCUUAUGAGUGUGCAAUAAUAUAUGUCUGUAUCUGUAGUGAUCUUGAAUGUGUGUGGCAAAAGGAAGUCCAGUUAACUUUUGCUUUCUAAUCAUGAGUUCCUCUCAACAGGCCCAGGCAACACUGACAGACUAGAAAAAAAAAUAUCAGGAGAUGAAGCUGACACAGUGAGAGCGGCCCAGGUGCUUCUUGGUGCUUGUUAUUACAGACACACACUUCACACAGGGGAGGAUUAUUUUAAUUCUGUGGCCUUCAGAUCUCAUAAAUACAAGUAAAAACAAGCAGCUGGGGUUUUCAUGCUACUUCAAAGUCAUUUCUCCCAACUGCACAUGGAGACAGGCCAUCCCCUUGCCACCUGACGCCAGGAAGGAAUCUGGAGGAGAACCUCUCGUCGGCAUGAUGCAAUCUGGCAGGCCCGCCUUCACUUUCUACCUGGUGUUGCAGUGUGCAUUCUGGGUCCUUCCAGAAACAUCCUGAGCUGCUGCCAGGGUCUCACCUUUCAUAUUCAGAUUAAAGCAAGUCUAUAUUAACACA